Molecule: long non-coding RNA, 741 nt
Filed under: Physcomitrium patens
Lineage: Eukaryota; Viridiplantae; Streptophyta; Bryopsida; Funariales; Funariaceae
Description: long non-coding RNA (PPAT_LNC009110)
Source: RNAcentral
CUUAAUCUGGUGUAUGCAAGAUCUUGUAAAAGCCACAUGUUGCUGUUCUUUUUAAUCUUCUUCUUUGCUUGUAAAUCCCUUGUACUGCAUAGAAGAUAUUGUAAGCAUAAAAUACCAUUUUUGCAAGAACACUUCCCACUGUUCACAACCAAAAUAUGAGAAUUUCAACUUCUUAUUUGUAAAUUUUGUACUAAAACAUAAAAAAAUAGUAUUUUCUAAUUCUUUUCACACUCUAAAUCAAAUCUUCCAAUAAUAAUAAAGAUAUAUCUAAUUUUUUGGUGGACGACAUUCUAAAAUUUAUUAUUUAAAUUGAUAUUCAUAGCUUUGUGAAAACUUCUAUGUAUGCACAUAUAUUGUUAUCGAUUUUUCUUUUAAAAAAGGUUUGUGAACAUUAAGCUGAAUAUGCUUACUCAGUUUAGAAACAUAUUUGUACUGUUACAUUUGAUUUAUUGACCAAUAUAAUAUUCUUGGUUCUGUUGAAUUAUUUACUUGACUUCACAUAGGUCCAAUUCUGCUGUUGGUUCACGGAUAAUAAUUCUUCACUAGUUUAAAAAAGACGCAAUUUGAACAUAGAUAAUCCAUAUCAGAUACUAGUCUCCCAAUAAUACAGUCUAUAGGUUUUGACUUGUCUCAUUUCAGGCCAAAGAAUAUCUUAAAACUUUCACAUGUUAAAGUGUACACUCCUUGAUCCAGAGAAGGGAAGGAGGGGCUAUGGGAUGAUAUGCCCCACAUGGGUUGGAG